RNAcentral lists this ribosomal RNA (484 nucleotides) under uncultured bacterium. RNAcentral describes it as "partial 16S ribosomal RNA". It matches the Rfam family "Bacterial small subunit ribosomal RNA", at positions 28 to 507 of the family's 1533-position model. The record is from RNAcentral.
AUUGAACGCUGGCGGCAUGCUUUACACAUGCAAGUCGAACGGCAGCGCGGGCUUCGGCCUGGCGGCGAGUGGCGAACGGGUGAGUAAUGCAUCGGAUCGUGCCCAGUAGUGGGGGAUAGCCCGGCGAAAGCCGGAUUAAUACCGCAUACGACCUGAGGGUGAAAGCGGGGGACCGAAAGGCCUCGCGCUAUUGGAGCGGCCGAUGUCGGAUUAGCUAGUUGGUGGGGUAAAGGCUUACCAAGGCGACGAUCCGUAGCUGGUCUGAGAGGACGACCAGCCACACUGGGACUGAGACACGGCCCAGACUCCUACGGGAGGCAGCAGUGGGGAAUUUUGGACAAUGGGGGCAACCCUGAUCCAGCCAUGCCGCGUGCGGGAAGAAGGCCUUCGGGUUGUAAACCGCUUUUGUUCGGGAAGAAAUCCUCUGGGCUAAUACCCCGGGGGGAUGACGGUACCGGAAGAAUAAGCACCGGCUAACUACGUG